This 621-nucleotide ribosomal RNA is filed under the name uncultured bacterium. RNAcentral describes it as "bacterial SSU rRNA". It matches the Rfam family "Bacterial small subunit ribosomal RNA", at positions 505 to 1119 of the family's 1533-position model. The record is from RNAcentral.
GUGCCAGCAGGCCGCGGUAAUACGUAGGGUGCGAGCGUUAAUCGGAAUUACUGGGCGUAAAGCGUGCGCAGGCGGUUUUGUAAGACAGAUGUGAAAUCCCCGGGCUUAACCUGGGAACUGCGUUUGUGACUGCAAGGCUAGAGUACGGCAGAGGGGGGUGGAAUUCCUGGUGUAGCAGUGAAAUGCGUAGAUAUCAGGAGGAACACCGAUGGCGAAGGCAGCCCCCUGGGCCUGUACUGACGCUCAUGCACGAAAGCGUGGGGAGCAAACAGGAUUAGAUACCCUGGUAGUCCACGCCCUAAACGAUGUCGACUAGUCGUUCGGAGCAGCAAUGCACUGAGUGACGCAGCUAACGCGUGAAGUCGACCGCCUGGGGAGUACGGCCGCAAGGUUAAAACUCAAAGGAAUUGACGGGGACCCGCACAAGCGGUGGAGCAUGUGGUUUAAUUCGAAGAUACGCGAAGAACCUUACCUGGACUUGACAUUGAAAGAAUCCUGUAGAGAUACGGGAGUGCUAGCUUGCUAGAGCUUGAAAACAGGUGCUGCACGGCUGUCGUCAGCUCGUGUCGUGAGAUGUUGGGUUAAGUCCCGCAACGAGCGCAACCCACGUCGUUAGUUGCU